RNAcentral lists this ribosomal RNA (380 nucleotides) under uncultured archaeon. Its description in RNAcentral is "bacterial SSU rRNA". It matches the Rfam family "Archaeal small subunit ribosomal RNA", at positions 345 to 727 of the family's 1478-position model. The record is from RNAcentral.
AAACUUCGCAAUGGGAGCAAUCCCGACGAGGGUAUUCCAAGUGCCAGCACUUAGUGUUGGCUGUUCUCCUGUCUAAAAAACAGGAGAAGUAAGGGCCGGGUAAGACGGGUGCCAGCCGCCGCGGUAAUACCCGCGGCCCGAGUGGUGGUCGAUAUUAUUGAGCCUAAAACGUCCGUAGCCGGUCUCACAAAUCCCUGGGUAAAUCGGCCAGCUCAACUGUCCGAAUUCCGGGGAGACUGCGAGACUUGGGACCGGGAGAGGUCAGAGGUACUUCCAGGGUAGGGGUAAAAUCCUGUAAUCCCGGAAGGACCACCGGUGGCGAAGGCGUCUGACUAGAACGGAUCCGACGGUGAGGGACGAAGCCCUGGGGCGCAAACGGG